RNAcentral lists this ribosomal RNA (341 nucleotides) under uncultured Desulfovibrio sp. Its description in RNAcentral is "bacterial SSU rRNA". It matches the Rfam family "Bacterial small subunit ribosomal RNA", at positions 1044 to 1382 of the family's 1533-position model. The record is from RNAcentral. Lineage: Bacteria; Pseudomonadati; Thermodesulfobacteriota; Desulfovibrionia; Desulfovibrionales; Desulfovibrionaceae.
CAUGGCUGUCGUCAGCUCGUGUCGUGAGAUGUUGGGUUAAGUCCCGCAACGAGCGCAACCCUCGCCUUUAGUUGCCAGCAUUCAGUUGGGCACUCUAGAGGGACUGCCGGUGUCAAACCGGAGGAAGGUGGGAUGACGUCAAGUCCUCAUGGCCUUUAUGUCUAGGGCUACACACGUACUACAAUGGCCGGUACAAAGGGCAGCCACUCAGCGAUGAGGCGCUAAUCCCAUAAAGCCGGUCUCAGUCCGGAUCGCAGUCUGCAACUCGACUGCGUGAAGUUGGAAUCGCUAGUAAUCGUACGAUCCAGCAUCGUCGUACGGUGAAUACGUUCCCGGGCCUU